CGGAGAGUAGCGCAGCUUGGCCAGCGCGCAGCGUUCGGGACGCUGAGGCCGCCGGUUCGAAUCCGGCCUCUCCGACCA
This 78-nucleotide transfer RNA is filed under the name Candidatus Bipolaricaulota bacterium. RNAcentral describes it as "tRNA-Pro". It matches the Rfam family "tRNA". From Rfam's summary of the family: Transfer RNA (tRNA) molecules are approximately 80 nucleotides in length. Their secondary structure includes four short double-helical elements and three loops (D, anti-codon, and T loops). Lineage: Bacteria; Candidatus Bipolaricaulota. The record is from RNAcentral.